Long non-coding RNA from Lonchura striata (white-rumped munia), 1581 nucleotides. Lineage: Eukaryota; Metazoa; Chordata; Aves; Passeriformes; Estrildidae. The record is from Ensembl.
UCCCCGUUUUUCGCCCCAAAUCCCCGUUUUUCACCAAAAUCCCCGUUUUUCACCCCAAAUCCUGCAGGCUGAUUCCCAUCCUGGUGCACGGGAUGCGCUACUCCGAGAUCGACAGCAUCCUGCUCAAGGGCGCCGCGGAGGAGGACGGCGCGGCGCCGGACGGCGAGCAGGACGUCCGGCCGUGCUACCUGCGGAAGCGCUCGGCCCAACGCUGCUCAAGGAGCUGCUUUUCCACCUGGAGUGGGUGGGCAAGGAGUCGGGGAUCCUGGUGCUGGGGGACAUCGCCAAAGGAGUCCAUCCAGAAGCUGAUGCCGCCGCUGAUCCAGAAGUGCAACGAGCUCAAGGACAAGGACGAGGACAAGGACCUGUUCCCGCUGCUCGAGGUGCCCCCGAGGGUGCUGGCAGGGUGGCAGGGUGCCCGUGCCACCCGUGACGCUGUCCCCGCUGUCCCCGCUGCCUGUCGGUGGCCGCGGCGCUGCAGCGCGGAUUCCUGCCCCACCGUGAGCCGGGGCACCGGCGCUGCGUGGCACCGGUGGCACCCACGGCAGGGACACCCACGGCGGGGACACCCACGGACGUGACACCCACGGCGGGGACACCCAUGUCCCCAUGGCAGUGACACCCAUGUCCCCAUGGUGGUGACACCCACGGUGGUGACACCCAUGUCCCCAUGGCGGUGACACCCAUGUCCCCACAUCCCCGUGUCCCCACAGCCGUGACACCCACGGCAGUGACACCCAUGUCCCCAUGGCAGUGACACCCAUGUCCCCAUGGUGGUGACACCCACGGCGGUGACACCCAUGGUGGUGUCACCCACAGCGGUGACACCCAUGUUCCCAUGUACCCGCAGCAGUGACACCCAUGGCGGUGACACCCAUGUCCUUGCAUCCCCAUGUCCCCAUGGUGGUGACACCCAUGGCGGUGACACCCAUGUUCCUAUGUACCCGCAGCAGUGACACCCACGGCAGUGACACCCACGGCGGGGACACCCAUGUCCCCAUGGCGGUGACACCCAUGGUGGUGACACCCAUGUCCCCACGGCAGUGACACCCAUGUUCCCAGACGGUGACACCCAUGUCCCAAUGGCGGUGACACCCAUGGCAGUGACACCCAUGUCCCCACGGCAGUGACACCCAUGUCCCCACAGUGGUGACACCCAUGUCCCACGGCAGUGACACCCACGGCAGUGACACCCAUGUCCCCAGGCGGUGACACCCAUGGCGGUGACACCCAUGUCCCCACGGCAGUGACACCCAUGUCCCCACGGCGGUGACACCCAUGGCAGUGACACCCAUGUCCCCACGGCGGUGACACUCAUGUCCCAAUGGCGGUGACACCCAUGUCCCCACGGCGGUGACACCCACGGCAAUGACACCCAUGCCCCACGGCAGUGACACCCAUGUCCCCAUGGCGGUGACACCCACGGCAGUGACACCCCAGUCCCGCGGGUUCCGGUGCCCGGUUCCCGGUCCGGUUCUUUUUUCACCGUUUCCGGGGCGGGUUGGGGGGAGGGGCGGUGCCAUAAAGGCCUUUGUGGACCGAGCGGGCCGAGUCCGCGUCCUCCGUUACCGGCGGGGGAAA